Molecule: long non-coding RNA, 1920 nt
Filed under: Mytilus galloprovincialis (Mediterranean mussel)
Lineage: Eukaryota; Metazoa; Mollusca; Bivalvia; Mytilida; Mytilidae
Source: RNAcentral
ACCAAAUUACACGAUUAUUGAUGGUUUUUUUUUUCUUUCUUGUCUUUUUAUUAAUGUUCUUGUCGUAUAUCAUAAUUGCGAUGUAUUGGUAUUUAUAAAAGUUCUGAUAAUGUGGCUAUUUUUUCUUUGAUUAAUCCUAAAUUACCUGUUUACAAAAAAUAAUCGAAAUACAACUGUACAAGGAUUUUUUACCCUAAGAACUUUAGAAAAACCUUUAGGAAUUUUGAACCCCCAAUGCUCUCUGACUUCGUCCUGUAUUAUGUUUUUAAGACUGUUUUUAUUCGAUCGUCAUUGAUAAGUCUGGUGUAGACUAAAAGCAUGACAUAUUCAAGCCUAGCAUAUAUGAUGAGUUUAUUUGAAUUAUGUCCCUUAUACUACAGAAUCUAUACUACGCCGAUUUAAUUUAAAAUAAUAAUGACAUGGGGAAAAAAAUAAAUAUGCUUAUAUCGUAUCAUAGAAUGUUCGCAAUUCAUUAAAGCUUUCUCAAAGUAUUGAACCCGCUGAUAUAAAAGCACGAUGUCUUCCGGUCUAGUAUUAUCUGAUGUGCUUCUUAAAACAUUCCAUACAUCUUUUAUUAUGUCGUAUCGUGCGUCGUUCUCAGUGGCGAAUCCAGAAAUUUUCAUAAGUGGGGGCCCACUGACUGAUCUAAGAGGGGGCCUGCUCGAGUCACGCCUUCAGUGAUUCCCUAUAUAAGCAACCAAUUUAUUUCCCAAAAAGAGGGGGCGGGCCCAACUGCCCCCCCCCUAAAUCCGCCUCUGGUUCUAUAAGUAUGCAUGAACCGUACUAUUUGCCACUGGACAUUAACUUAAUCAGCAAACAACGGUUAGUGAAUCUUUUGGUGUCUCAUGUGUUUGUCAUAGGGAAUAUUUGAAAAACCUACGAGGCCCCUCAUGGGGGGGUCCUAGUAAUCACAUAAUCACCAUUUUUUUGCCAAUAUAAUCACAUAAUCAUUAAAUAUUGCUUAUCUUUAGUAAUCAAAUAAUCAUAAACUAAAAAUACAGUCCUAGGUAAUCAAAUAAUCAUGAAAUAUUUGGCUUAAUAAUCAAAUAAUCAUUAAAAAAACGGCCAAGUAAUCACAUAAUCAAAAACCCCAUGAGGGCCCUCAUUGUACUUUAGAAAAGGGGUUAGUGGGUUGCUGACUUAUAGACGUAUAGUCCCAUUUUAUUUUUGUCGUUUUUACGAUUUUUUAGUAAAUAACAAUAGUAUUGCGUCUUUCUAUAAUGUGGACAAUUGUUAAAUAAAACAACGAGGAUACAAAGAAAUGAAAAAAAAAAAAAAAACAAUUGAGAGUGAUUUCUACCAAAACAAAUGUCCAAAUAAUUUUCCCUGAAUACAUAUCAAGUCAAAACAGAAUCUAUUGAAAAUUAUUCCAAAAUGAAUGUGCAUUAAAAAGUCAAAAUAUUAUAACAUACUAUAUAGGCAUUAUACACACAAAAAAAAGUCAUAGAAGACUCAAUACAUGCAGGAAAGAUUUCAAUCGAAAGUAUCAUAAAAAAGACAUGGGCUAUGGACAUUGUCACAUUGCGCACUUUGGUUUUCUUGUUGUAAGGAUUGAGUUUUUCACAAUUGUUGAUUGAUAUAAAGUUUUAGGCUGGACAUGACUACAGGACACGAAUAAAAAAAAAAACUAUCCGUCACUUUACCGGUAUACUCAUAAUAGACCAGAGAUCAAUAAGUUAUACGUAUAUUUAAACAUUUAAAACUAGGUAAAUACAUUUUAAUAGACCAUAUAUACAUGCAGACAUUUGAUAGUGGUUAACCAAAUAUUCUACCCGGAUAUUGUUAAUCUAAAGAUCACUUGAGCGUGACGGUAUAAUUUACGAUAACGACUCCACCUACACUUUUGUUUAAUCAGACAAAUAUAGCCUAAUACACAAGAGCAGACCCAUUAUAUAAAACAAACAUUAUAUUGUUCACAGC